CAAUAGCGUAUAUUAAAGUUGUUGCAGUUAAAAAGCUCGUAGUUGGAUUUGUGGUUGUCGUGAACGGUCCGACAUUCGUGUUGGUACUUGUUGACGUCGCCAUCCUUGGGUGGAGCCUGUGUGGCAUUAGGUUGUCGCGCAGGGGAUGCCCAUCGUUUACUGUGAGAAAAUUAGAGUGUUCAAAGCAGGCUUAUGCCGUUGAAUAUAUUAGCAUGGAAUAAUAAGAUAGGACCUUGGUACUAUUUUGUUGGUUUGCGCACCAAGGUAAUGAUUAAUAGGGACAGUUGGGGGUAUUCGUAUUCCAUUGUCAGAGGUGAAAUUCUUGGAUUUUUGGAAGACGAACUACUGCGAAAGCAUUUACCAAGGAUGUUUUCAUUAA
This 379-nucleotide ribosomal RNA is filed under the name uncultured eukaryote. RNAcentral's name for it is "partial 18S ribosomal RNA". It matches the Rfam family "Eukaryotic small subunit ribosomal RNA", at positions 592 to 976 of the family's 1831-position model. The record is from RNAcentral.